AUGGUGCGCGAGCCGACCAGUUCAAUGGAGGCAGUAGCACGGGGCAGCAGCAGCAGCAUGGAGGGCGGCCACUUGAUCGGCAAGGUCCUAGAACUGCAAAUAGGAGUGGCAGUGGCAAUCACGAUGCAAAUGCAAGUGGUGCCCAAAGAUCUUGCAAAGCCUAAAGCACAAAGGUGGGGGUGCAACCUAAAGAAAAAAGAGACACAAAUUCAAGUGGAAAAGGACGCACCGCCAAGAGAUGGCAAUUUGGAGACCCGUAGAUCUGUACGGCUUGUCAAGAAGAAGACCAAGGAGCAAGGACGUCAACAGCCCAUACCCUGUUGCUUAGAAUCUGCUUAA
Molecule: ribosomal RNA, 339 nt
Filed under: Triticum aestivum (bread wheat)
Lineage: Eukaryota; Viridiplantae; Streptophyta; Magnoliopsida; Poales; Poaceae
Description: partial small subunit ribosomal RNA
Source: RNAcentral